UACGUAGGGUGCGAGCGUUGUCCGGAAUUAUUGGGCGUAAAGAGCUCGUAGGCGGUGUGUCACGUCGGCCGUGAAAACCUGGGGCUUAACUCUGGGCGUGCGGUCGAUACGGGCAUCACUAGAGUUCGGCAGGGGAGACUGGAAUUCCUGGUGUAGCGGUGAAAUGCGCAGAUACCAGGAGGAACACCGGUGGCGAAGGCGGCUGCCUGGCCUAUUACUGACGCUGAGGCGCGAAAGCGUGGGGAGCAAACGGG
Molecule: ribosomal RNA, 254 nt
Filed under: uncultured prokaryote
Description: partial 16S ribosomal RNA
Rfam family: Bacterial small subunit ribosomal RNA
Source: RNAcentral